RNAcentral lists this ribosomal RNA (321 nucleotides) under Triticum aestivum (bread wheat). RNAcentral's name for it is "partial small subunit ribosomal RNA". The record is from RNAcentral. Lineage: Eukaryota; Viridiplantae; Streptophyta; Magnoliopsida; Poales; Poaceae.
AUGGUGUAUAUCUGCCUCCCUUGCGGUGAUGAAUUUUUUUUCGUGGAUGUUGAGAGGGAUGGCAUAAAGCAAACCCCACUUCCUUAUAUAGGUAAGAGUAACCCAUCGAAUCAGCAGCGAGUCUGUUAUCCCGAGAUGAGACAGAUGAUCAGACGUGAUUUCACCCCUUUGGAAGAUAUAUGUUGCCUUUUUGUACACAAGAUGACUGCUGUUGACAUUAGAGACGGCUACAUGGUUAGUGAACAUAACUAUAAUAUCCUGUCAAAUCAUUUUGUUGUUUUGCAAGUCGGAUUUAGAAGAUGGCUGAUCACUCAUCUCUGA